Molecule: long non-coding RNA, 515 nt
Filed under: Sorghum bicolor (sorghum)
Lineage: Eukaryota; Viridiplantae; Streptophyta; Magnoliopsida; Poales; Poaceae
Description: long non-coding RNA (SBIC_LNC015849)
Source: RNAcentral
CUGGCAUAUUGCAUAUUAGAGGGACCAUGGGCUAUCAUUUUCUUUUUCUCUCUUUUUUUAAGUGGAUACCGAGGUACCACUAAUUCUACUGCCGGACACUUGUCCAUUUUUUUCUGCGAGGUUGUCGAGCACUUGCUCCUUUUUAUUUCCUCGAAAUAUCUUUAUUUUUGCAUAGCCCAUGCCUCUAAUGCAAUAAUACUUCGAAAGAGUGAAUCUUUCUGUAUAAAUGUCUUGAUCUUAGGAGCAUGAUAAAUCUCUCAACAGGGGUCUAACUCAUUUUGAACAAACUUAAUACAGAGUAGAUAGCUUUUAUAAUCAUAAUUAAUAUUUUCAGUUUUAUCAGGCAUAUAAAACACUGAGGAUGGUAGCUAGAAUUAAUUUUGAAAUAAAUUCUCCAAGCAACAAUGAUAUGAAGAAUAAGAAACUCAUACUCUACCAUCUCACAUUCCAUACUGUCUUAAGUAACACAGGUUUUUUUUUUAAAAAAUGAUUUUAUAAUAGUUACAAGUUUCAGG